Molecule: ribosomal RNA, 253 nt
Filed under: uncultured bacterium
Lineage: Bacteria
Description: partial 16S ribosomal RNA
Rfam family: Bacterial small subunit ribosomal RNA
Source: RNAcentral
UACGGAGGGUGCAAGCGUUAUCCGGAUUCACUGGGUUUAAAGGGUGCGUAGGCGGGCUUGUAAGUCAGUGGUGAAAGCCCGGGGCUUAACUCCGGAACUGCCGUUGAUACUGCAAGCCUUGAGUGCAGUUGAGGUGGGCGGAAUACAUCAUGUAGUGGUGAAAUACUUAGAUAUGAUGUAGAACACCGAUUGCGAAGGCAGCUCACUAAGUUGCAACUGACGCUGAGGCACGAAAGCGUGGGGAUCAAACAGG